GCUCAAGCGAUUUUCCUGCCUCAGCCUCCCGAGUGGCUGGGAUUACAGGCGCACAGCACCAUGCCCAGCUAACUUUCGUAUUUUUAGUAGAGACGGGGUUUCCCCAUGUUGACUAGGCUGGUCUCGAACUCCUGAUCUCAGGUGAUCCACCUGCCUCAGCCUACCAAAGUGCUGGGAUUACAGCUCUUUUCUUGGAAGAGAAGAAACCAUUUCUAUUAAGGGAGCAACAAAGGGCUGUUUUGUACAUUCAUUACAUUCACAAGCCCCAGCAGCUACUAUUAAUGAGUGUCUGGAAUAUGUUCCUGGCAUUUCACCUACACUCUCUCCAAUCCUUCCAAGAAACUCACAAAGCAGGGCUUUUUCUUGAACUUCUCUUCCUCACAACAGUUAAAUCAUCCAUUUAAAGAUGUCAGACAAGCUCUGUGUUCUAAGCCAGACCAUCAAUUUAACUUGUAAAACUACCAACUGUUGCUACACACAGGCAAAGGAAUUAAACUUGGUAGCUGAUCAUUUGAUUACAUCUAUCAGUCUACUGGAGGGCUUCAACGCAGAGUAGGUGGAAUUCAUGGUUCAAAUCAGAGUAUUAAUGGGAUCUGUU
This 598-nucleotide non-coding RNA is filed under the name Pongo abelii (Sumatran orangutan). Lineage: Eukaryota; Metazoa; Chordata; Mammalia; Primates; Hominidae. The record is from RNAcentral.